Molecule: ribosomal RNA, 301 nt
Filed under: uncultured bacterium
Lineage: Bacteria
Description: partial 16S ribosomal RNA
Rfam family: Bacterial small subunit ribosomal RNA
Source: RNAcentral
CAGCAGCCGCGGUAAUACGGAGGGUGCAAGCGUUAAUCGGAAUUACUGGGCGUAAAGCGCACGCAGGCGGUUUGUUAAGUCAGAUGUGAAAUCCCCGAGCUUAACUUGGGAACUGCAUUUGAAACUGGCAAGCUAGAGUCUUGUAGAGGGGGGUAGAAUUCCAGGUGUAGCGGUGAAAUGCAUAGAGAUCUGGAGGAAUACCGGUGGCGAAGGCGGCCCCCUGGACAAAGACUGACGCUCAGGUGCGAAAGCGUGGGGAGCAAACAGGAUUAGAGACCCCUGUAGUCCCUGUCUCUUAUCA